RNAcentral lists this non-coding RNA (163 nucleotides) under uncultured Paenibacillus sp. Lineage: Bacteria; Bacillati; Bacillota; Bacilli; Caryophanales; Paenibacillaceae. The record is from RNAcentral.
GUUCCGGCCAAGUGCCGGAGCUUAAAAGGGAAGUCCGGUGUAAUGCCGGCGCGGUCCCGCCACUGUAACGGAGGAGUCGGAUGCAUAGGGUGCCACUGGUGAUCAGAUCACCGGGAAGGCCGUGUCCGGCGAUGAUGCCGAAGCCAGGAGACCUGCCUAUUUC